Molecule: ribosomal RNA, 1041 nt
Filed under: Escherichia coli
Lineage: Bacteria; Pseudomonadati; Pseudomonadota; Gammaproteobacteria; Enterobacterales; Enterobacteriaceae
Description: partial 16S ribosomal RNA
Rfam family: Bacterial small subunit ribosomal RNA
Source: RNAcentral
UUUCCCCCCCCCCCUGGGAUUUGAGACCCCCGCCCCAGUCUUCCUUNNGGGGGGGCAGCAGGUGGGGAAUUUUUGCCACAAUGGGGGAAAACUCUUGANNGACAACCAUNNCCGCGGGNUANAAAGAAGGCCCUUGGGGGUUGAAAAGUCCUUUUCAGCGGGGAGAAAGGGUNGUAAAGUUAAUACCUUCGUUCGUUGGCGUUUACNCGCAGAAANAGCNNCGGCUAACUCCGUGCCAGCAGCCGCGGUAAUACGGAGGGUGCAAGCNNUUAAUCGGAAUUUUCUGGGCGUAAAGCGCACGCAGGCGGUUUGUUAAGUCAGAUGAGAAAUCCCCGGGCUCAACCUGGGAACUGCAUUUGAUACUGGCAAGCUUGAGUCUCGUAGAGGAGGGUAGAAUUCCAGGUGUAGCGGUGAAAUGCGUAGAGAUCUGGAGGAAUCCCGGUGGCGAAGGCGGCCCCCUGGACGAAGACUGACGCUCAGGUGAGAAAGCGUGGGGAGCAAACAGGAUUAGAUCCCCUGGUAGUCCACGCCGUAAACGAUGUCUACUUGGAGGUUGUGCCCUUGAGCCGUGGCUUCCGGAGUUAACCCGUUAAGUCGCCCCCCUGGGGAGUACGGCCCCAAGGUUAAAACUCAAAUGAAUUGACGGGGGCCCCCCCAAGCGGUGGAGCAUGUGGUUUAAUUCGAUGCAACGGGAAGACCCUUCCCUGGUCUUGACAUCCAGGGAACUUUUCAGAGAUGAGUAUGUGCCUUCGGGAACCGUGAUACCGGUGCUGCCUGGGUGUUGUCAACUUGUGUUGUGAAAUGGUGGGUUAAGUCCCGCAACGAGCGCAACCCUUAUCCUUUGUUGCCAGCGGUCCGGCCGGGAACUCAAAGGAGACUGCCGGUGAUAAACUGGAGGAAGGUGGGGAUGACGUCAAGUCAUCAUGGCCCUUACGACCAGGGCUACACACGUGCUACAAUGGCGCAUACAAAGGGAAGCGACCUCGCGAGAGCAAGCGAACCUCAUAAAGCGCGUCGUAGUCCGGAUUGGAGUCUGCAACU